ACGAAGGGGGCUAGCGUUGCUCGGAAUUACUGGGCGUAAAGGGCGCGUAGGCGGAUGUUUAAGUCGGGGGUGAAAGCCCGGGGCUCAACCUCGGAAUUGCCUUCGAUACUGGACAUCUUGAGUACGGGAGAGGUGAGUGGAACUCCGAGUGUAGAGGUGAAAUUCGUAGAUAUUCGGAAGAACACCAGUGGCGAAGGCGACUCACUGGCCCGUUACUGACGCUGAGGCGGGAAAGCGUGGGGAGCAAACAGGA
Molecule: ribosomal RNA, 253 nt
Filed under: uncultured prokaryote
Description: partial 16S ribosomal RNA
Rfam family: Bacterial small subunit ribosomal RNA
Source: RNAcentral